This 254-nucleotide ribosomal RNA is filed under the name uncultured bacterium. Its description in RNAcentral is "partial 16S ribosomal RNA". It matches the Rfam family "Bacterial small subunit ribosomal RNA", at positions 524 to 776 of the family's 1533-position model. The record is from RNAcentral.
UACGUAGGGGGCGAGCGUUGUCCGGAUUUACUGGGCGUAAAGGACGCGCAGGCGGCCCGAGGGGUCUGUCGUUAAAGCCCGGGGCUCAACCCCGGGUGGUCGGCGGAGACCGGCGGGCUUGGAGGCCGGUAGAGGGAUGCGGAAUUCCCGGUGUAGUGGUGAAAUGCGUAGAGAUCGGGAGGAACACCAGAGGCGAAAGCGGCAUCCUGGACCGGUAUUGACGCUGAGGCGCGAAAGCCAGGGGAGCAAACGGG